GAUGAACGCUGGCGGCGUGCCUAAUACAUGCAAGUCGAGCGAACAGAUGAGGAGCUUGCUCCUCUGACGUUAGCGGCGGACGGGUGAGUAACACGUGGAUAACCUACCUAUAAGACUGGGAUAACUUCGGGAAACCGGAGCUAAUACCGGAUAAUAUAUUGAACCGCAUGGUUCAAUAGUGAAAGACGGUUUUGCUGUCACUUAUAGAUGGAUCCGCGCCGCAUUAGCUAGUUGGUAAGGUAACGGCUUACCAAGGCGACGAUGCGUAGCCGACCUGAGAGGGUGAUCGGCCACACUGGAACUGAGACACGGUCCAGACUCCAACGGGAGGCAGCAGUAGGGAAUCUUCCGCAAUGGGCGAAAGCCUGACGGAGCAACGCCGCGUGAGUGAUGAAGGUCUUCGGAUCGUAAAACUCUGUUAUUAGGGAAGAACAAAUGUGUAAGUAACUAUGCACGUCUGGACGGUACCUAAUCAGAAAGCCACGGCUAACUACGU
RNAcentral lists this ribosomal RNA (496 nucleotides) under uncultured bacterium. RNAcentral's name for it is "partial 16S ribosomal RNA". It matches the Rfam family "Bacterial small subunit ribosomal RNA", at positions 28 to 506 of the family's 1533-position model. The record is from RNAcentral.